CAACAGAAACCUGAGGCGCUCAGGCAGGACUCGUGGUCGGGGACAGAAGGCUGAGGUGCUCACCGGGGCGGAGACAGACGAACGGGUCGGGAACAGGCAGGGUCGAAACCGGGAGAUCAGUCCAAGGUAGAGUGCUGGAGAGACUUGCAUGACGCGAAGAACAAUCUGGCAAUGACAGGCUGGGUGUGCAGUGCUUAUGUAGCGGGGCUGAUUGUGAAUGCGAAGCAGGUGUGGAAGGCAGGAGAGUGACUGAUUGUGGAUGCGGGGCAGGUGUGGAAGAUCGAGCUGGCAGGUGAGUGUGACACAAGGCCUGUUGACUGAGGAACCGCUUCGCCUCAUGAGGCAGGGCCCGUAAGUAUCGAUCCACCACCACAGCCUCUACUACCGCAGGCGCGGUGAGAACAUGCAGACUCCACACUGUGUGUCUGCAUGUUCUCCCCUUGUCUGCGUGGGUUCUCUCCGGGCUCUGGGGAUCAGGUUGAUUGGGGACUCUAAAAUUGCCCACAGGUGUGAAUGUGAAUGGUUGUAUGUCUCUGUUAGCCCUGUGAUUGGCUGGCGACCAGUUCAAGUGUACCCCGUCUCUCGCCCGAAGUUGGCUGGGUUAGACUCCAGCCCCCCCGUGACCCUGUGUGCAGGAUAAGCGGUGUGAAGAUGGAUGGAUGGAUGGAUGGAUUGUUGCCGAUACAAUACAAAUUGCAAAUAAUAAAAAUAAUUCAGUACAUUCAUAGGAGACAGAAAACAAAAAACAAUAUGCAUUAGGUAUAUUCAAAGAUAACAUAAAACUAAAUAAUAUCCAUUCAUUACAUUUGUUAUAAAAAACAACACAAUUACAUGUCAAAGAAUAAGGAAAUCUUACAAGUUUAACCUUGAGUCACCCAUAAGCCUAGUUUCACCCAUAAGCCUAUGUACAGUUUGAGGAAAUUGCACUUUCUUGUUUCUUGUUCCCCUGAGUUUGUACCCUAUAGUUGAAUGCACUUAUUGUACGUCGCUUUGGAUAAAAGCGUCAGCUAAAUGACAUGUAAUGUAAUGUACAGUACCUGUGUAUUGGGGAUAGCUGAUUUUCAUACAUGUCUGUGUCAGGUUGGUCCAAUACAUCGGUCAUGGCUCUAUCCAGUUCAUUCUGCACGGUCUUAUAGAGCUGCGCUGAUCAUGUUGCUGUUAUUGCUGCUGCUUUAUCAAUUCAAUCUGCUGCAGGGGGACCAGAAUUUUUUUGGGAGCGUACUCGUUACUUCCCGCGGUUGAGGAGGCUAAUUAUAAAAGGAAUAGCGACGCCCAAUAACGGUAAACCCCCCCAUCUGAUUGAGCGUCUUUUCUUCUUGUUAAUUCCGAUCUUUUUAUCAGCUAACAGUCUGAUGAGAUUAUUCUUCUUCUUUAAAAGUACAAACUCUUUGUCUGUCAACUAAACAUUACUUCUUAACACGUUGAGGGGUACACAGUGCAUUACUAAAAUCUCCAUUUUCAUUAGCCACAAUAACCUCACACGGGGCGAGGAUUUAUAUAUCAAUUCUAACAAAGUCAAAUUCCUCUGCAUGCGUGGCGUCAUUCGGUGUUGCCUCUUUGUUUUUUUAGGUAAUGUGAGAUGCAUGUAAUGGUAAAAAUAUGUUAUAACCUAGUCUUAUGCUAAAAGAGUGAUUAUUGUCUGUAUUGAAGUGAUGUGCAGAAGCAUAAAGAAGUAAGGCCUCCAUAUGCAGCUGUGUCUGAAGAAGGGAGUUCAAUUACUGUCACACGGACGCUCGAACAAAGGAACAGUGUGUGCUGUCCUCAUCUUAACCUUGGUUCUUAUCUCAACCUAGUUUGCAGCUUCUCGUACCUGGCACUGAGGAUGGCCUUCAUAUGUGUAUAAAAUCUCAGUGUUUUGACUGCUUGGUGACGCCAUUUACACCGAGCGCUGGGAUACGUGCCUGUGUAUUCGACCUCCUGCUUGCAAGCAAUAGUGAGAGCCAGAUAUCUGCGGAGAAAUGCUCAUGUAAACUUUUUCUCUUCUAAAUAAAUGUUAACUUUUUCACUUUAAUUGAUCAACGUGUUGCGAUCCUUCACAUCAACCAACUUGGGGGGAUCGGAGAUCCUGACAAUUUGGGGGCUCGUCCGGGGAUGAGAAGUUUUCCUGCACAGCCGAAUUUGAUCCAAAACGCUUUCACCUGCUGAACGUACUCCCAGGCCGGCCUUAAAACAAGAUAAGCAGAAACCUGUUACAUCUAAUUCUGCAUAUUGAAUAAGCCAAAGUAAGGAGUACGUUGUGGAUUGGUGGUUGUAGGAGCCAUACAUUAGGUUUGAUUAUUCUUUUGUAUUAUUUCAUCUUUCCUUCUACAUCGUUUGUAUGUGCGCGUGUGGUGUGACGUCAUUUGUAUCUACGACACCGUAAGGGGGUGUGGUGUGUAUAUUAGCGUGUGUCUGUUCACCUGUGCGGCACGGCGGGUUGUUCGGACCAUGGCUGCAGGCCGAGCAUGGGGAACAAUCUUUCUUCUGACCGUCAUUGUCAUCGUCACUGGAGUAAUUAUUGUCACUAACGUCACUACGAAGAUUUAUGCGCUGUUGAUCCUCUCUUGACUGAUGAAAGGCAUCUAUCAAUGUAAGUGAUUGGCGUGUAUUCUUUCUGCUGGUGAAACGGAGUAAUAAACAUCAGAUGAAAUACUUUAGUGCGACGCGUGAGUAUAAUCUCCUCAUGUCUUAGCCUGCUGCGGCAAUUCUCUAAAAAAGCAUCGAUGGGAAACUGAUUGAACACCGCCGAGUGUUCAAGGGAUCUACAAUCCGGCAUGAAUUAAGGGAAUUGAUUUGGAGUCAAUAUCCUGGUCUUUGGUUUAGCAACCCUCUCACACCCUGACGAGGGAUGAUUUCGCUAGGUGUGGUGCCCUGGGGAUUUGAGGACCCCCGAAAGACUGCGGGUCGGUGACCCAAGGUUAGAGUUCCUUAAAAACCGUGUUUGAUUUCCUAGGCAUAGUGCAGCCCUUGCGAGGUGCUGGGAUGCAGUAAAAUUAAACAGCGUGCUUUGGGAGUGUGGAGGGGGAGAGAGACGAGUGAUUAAAUAGAUAAAUGAAAUGUGUUGAGAAAUGCACUUUAAGAAAUACGUUUUGGAAGUACGUUCUAAGGAAUUGAGAACGCAGACAGGUUAAAGCAUAAACUUGCGAAUAUAAUAAUUGAGUCUGAGAGGUUAAAAUAAACUCACAAACGCAUUAACUCCGGAAGGUUAGUAUAAACUUUCGGCAUAAAUGAAGUCUGCGAGACUAACAUAAGCUCGCGGACACAAACAUUUUCUCUGAAAGGUUAGUAUAAACUUUCAGAACAUAGCUGUCUGCUCCGGUAAAAUACAUACAAACUGGUUGACUGCUGUUAAAUGGAAGAUGAAUUUGAUGGAGAAGUGGAGGACGGCGGCUGGGGGCCAGCGCCGGGGUAUGAAUGGAAAAUAAUAAAUGACCAACUGAGGCUGCUGUUGGUGGCGGUGAGUGGAGAUACCUGAAAGGUGUAAUUCGGAAAAAACACCUCCAUACGAGGGAAGAAAAAAAAAAAAAAAAAAAAGGAGAGACAGAUUCUCAACCAACAAUCCUGCAGCUGCAGGGCCACUGUCUAAGCUCUCCAAGCUAUUACUACAAUUUUGAUUUAAAAAUAGUAGAAUUGUAGACAUGCAUUGAAGAAAGAAAAAUAAGAUUUAAAGUCUUUAAAGCAACAACGGCUAGAAUAAGAGUCAUAAAUCUCAUAAAGGAUUUAAGGGUUUUAUGGGAGUAACAAGGUCACAGCAGUGAGAAGAUGUGUGGGAGCAACGGUGGAGGCCAAUAAGGCUGGACAGGUUUUAUACCUCCUCACUUGGAGGAACUCAAGCAAAUUCAAGAAGCACACACACAUACUGUUGAAUAAAGUUAAUCCUGAGUGCAAUUAUUUCUUAGUGAUAUGAUUAAGUUUAUGCAUCUUUCUUGAAUACCAGGAUAUAUAAAGAAUAAAGAGGAUCAAUUUUCCUUUUGUUUUUCAGUUUAGAUAUAGUUUUAGAAUAAGCUCAUCAUUACUGGGAUGUCAAAGGUCUGUCAAAAACCUUUACAUGACCAAGCGGAUUGU
Molecule: long non-coding RNA, 4044 nt
Organism: Gasterosteus aculeatus aculeatus (three-spined stickleback)
Lineage: Eukaryota; Metazoa; Chordata; Actinopteri; Perciformes; Gasterosteidae
Source: Ensembl